Molecule: ribosomal RNA, 222 nt
Filed under: uncultured bacterium
Lineage: Bacteria
Description: partial 16S ribosomal RNA
Rfam family: Bacterial small subunit ribosomal RNA
Source: RNAcentral
GAUCAUGGCUCAGGAUGAACGCUGGCGGCGUGCUUAACACAUGCAAGUCGAGCGAAGCAAAUCAGAGGAAGUUUUCGGAUGGAAUCCGAUUUGACUGAGCGGCGGACGGGUGAGUAACGCGUGGGUAACCUGCCUCAUACAGGGGGAUAACAGUUAGAAAUGGCUGCUAAUACCGCAUAAGCGCACGAAGCUGCAUGGCAUCGUGUGAAAAACUCCGGUGGU